Molecule: unclassified non-coding RNA, 213 nt
Filed under: Hevea brasiliensis (rubber tree)
Lineage: Eukaryota; Viridiplantae; Streptophyta; Magnoliopsida; Malpighiales; Euphorbiaceae
Source: RNAcentral
AGAAUUUAGGCAUGUCUUUGCCAAAUUGAGUUUUUGCCUAUGGCUUGAGCCAGUCACGAAACUAUGCUAACUUUUCAUGUCGACUUUUUAGGCAUUAUGGAAAUAUGACCUCCAUAUGUGAAAACUAGGCAUUUGGAAUUUAUUGUUGAUAAUCAUAGUUGAUAGUUUUAAGAAAAAAAAACUAGUGCUUUUGUGUCAAGGCUUACAUUGUUA